CGUGUAGGCUGUGCGGUAAGUUGGGCGUGAAAUCCCCGGGCUUAACCCGGGGGGGCCGUUCAAGACUGCCGUGCUAGGGUGCGGGAGAGGGAAGUGGAAUUCCCAGUGUAGAGGUGAAAUUCGUAGAUAUUGGGAAGAACACCGGUGGCGAAGGCGGCUCACUGGCCCGUUUCUGACGCUCAUGCACGAUAGCGUGGGGAUCAAACAGGAUUAGAUACCCUGGUAGUCCACGCCGUAAACUAUGGACGCUAGCCGUUGGGUAGCUUGCUAUUCAGUGGCGCAGCUAACGCCUUAAGCGUCCCGCCUGGGGAGUACGGCCGCAAGGUUGAA
RNAcentral lists this ribosomal RNA (330 nucleotides) under uncultured bacterium. RNAcentral's name for it is "bacterial SSU rRNA". It matches the Rfam family "Bacterial small subunit ribosomal RNA", at positions 568 to 898 of the family's 1533-position model. The record is from RNAcentral.